RNAcentral lists this unclassified non-coding RNA (217 nucleotides) under soil metagenome. RNAcentral describes it as "partial contains small subunit ribosomal RNA, internal transcribed spacer 1, and 5.8S ribosomal RNA". The record is from RNAcentral.
UCUCCGUAGGUGAACCUGCGGAGGGAUCAUUACAAGUGACCCCGGUCUAACCACCGGGAUGUUCAUAACCCUUUGUUGUCCGACUCUGUUGCCUCCGGGGCGACCCUGCCUUCGGGCGGGGGCUCCGGGUGGACACUUCAAACUCUUGCGUAACUUUGCAGUCUGAGUAAACUUAAUUAAUAAAUUAAAACUUUUAACAACGGAUCUCUUGGCUCCA